Molecule: ribosomal RNA, 253 nt
Filed under: uncultured bacterium
Lineage: Bacteria
Also listed under: 1 other name
Description: partial 16S ribosomal RNA
Rfam family: Bacterial small subunit ribosomal RNA
Source: RNAcentral
UACGGAGGGUGCAAGCGUUAAUCGGAAUUACUGGGCGUAAAGGGUGCGUAGGUGGUUGAUUAAGUUAGGUGUGAAAUUCCUGGGCUUAACCUGGGCUGGAAACUUAAAACUGGUCGACUUGAGUAUGGGAGAGGGUAGUGGAAUUUCCGGUGUAGCGGUGAAAUGCGUAGAGAUCGGAAGGAACACCAGUGGCGAAGGCGGCUACCUGGCCUAAUACUGACACUGAAGCACGAAAGCGUGGGGAGCAAACAGG